Molecule: ribosomal RNA, 418 nt
Filed under: Staphylococcus aureus
Lineage: Bacteria; Bacillati; Bacillota; Bacilli; Caryophanales; Staphylococcaceae
Description: bacterial SSU rRNA
Rfam family: Bacterial small subunit ribosomal RNA
Source: RNAcentral
AAAAGUGAAAGACGGUCUUGCUGUCACUUAUAGAUGGAUCCGCGCUGCAUUAGCUAGUUGGUAAGGUAACGGCUUACCAAGGCAACGAUGCAUAGCCGACCUGAGAGGGUGAUCGGCCACACUGGAACUGAGACACGGUCCAGACUCCUACGGGAGGCAGCAGUAGGGAAUCUUCCGCAAUGGGCGAAAGCCUGACGGAGCAACGCCGCGUGAGUGAUGAAGGUCUUCGGAUCGUAAAACUCUGUUAUUAGGGAAGAACAUAUGUGUAAGUAACUGUGCACAUCUUGACGGUACCUAAUCAGAAAGCCACGGCUAACUACGUGCCAGCAGCCGCGGUAAUACGUAGGUGGCAAGCGUUAUCCGGAAUUAUUGGGCGUAAAGCGCGCGUAGGCGGUUUUUUAAGUCUGAUGUGAAAGCC